GAUGAACGCUGGCGGCGUGCCUAACACAUGCAAGUCGAACGGACAUUUUUUGGAAAGUUCUUCGGAACUGGAAUCUAAAUGUUAGUGGCGGACGGGUGAGUAACGCGUGAGCAAUCUGCCUUUCAGAGGGGGAUAACAGCCGGAAACGGCUGCUAAUACCGCAUAAUGCAUUGGAUUCGCAUGUUUCUGAUGCCAAAGAUUUUAUCGCUGAAAGAUGAGCUCGCGUCUGAUUAGCUAGUUGGCGGGGUAACGGCCCACCAAGGCGACGAUCAGUAGCCGGACUGAGAGGUUGAACGGCCACAUUGGGACUGAGACACGGCCCAGACUCCUACGGGAGGCAGCAGUGGGGAAUAUUGCGCAAUGGGGGCAACCCUGACGCAGCAACGCCGCGUGAUUGAUGAAGGUCUUCGGAUUGUAAAAAUCUUUAAUCAGGGACGAAGAAAAUGACGGUACCUGAAGAAUAAGCUCCGGCUAACUACGUGCCAGCAGCCGCGGUAAUACGUAGGGAGCAAGCGUUAUCCGGAUUUACUGGGUGUAAAGGGCGUGUAGGCGGGCUUGCAAGUUGGAAGUGAAAUCUCGGGGCUUAACCCCGAAACUGCUUUCAAAACUGCGAGUCUUGAGUGAUGGAGAGGCAGGCGGAAUUCCCAGUGUAGCGGUGAAAUGCGUAGAUAUUGGGAGGAACACCAGUGGCGAAGGCGGCCUGCUGGACAUUAACUGACGCUGAGGCGCGAAAGCGUGGGGAGCANACAGG
This 751-nucleotide ribosomal RNA is filed under the name uncultured bacterium. Its description in RNAcentral is "bacterial SSU rRNA". It matches the Rfam family "Bacterial small subunit ribosomal RNA", at positions 28 to 776 of the family's 1533-position model. The record is from RNAcentral.